CACACUUGGUCCAUUGUCCUAUUUAUAGUUUUAAAAUCGGAGCUGUUCGUUGCGUUGCGCGAUUUCGCAGUUCCUUGGACCGCGAACAACUUCUGCAUGGAGUGGGGGACACUGCAGCACCUUGACCUGCGCAACGUUGGUCGUGGCGUGAGACCUCUGCAGCCACAUGCAGCUACCUUCCAUCCUCACCAAGCACUCGUUGCCGUCGCCAUUGGAACCUUCAUAGUCGACAACAAACUCGUGACUCGUGAGAAGCAAUACAUCAUGAGCACAAACAUGAGCUAUUUGUCUUGAUGGAAGAAUUAGUUACUUCAUUCAUAAAUAAACUAAAACAAUGAUAUCCAAUUUGAUGCUUGCUAGCCUUUGAAGUCAUUGUUCACUAAAAAGUACAUAACUUUUUGUAAAGUGUAAACCACCACAAUGGCAAUGCCUGGUAAACAUUUCUUAACUUACUCUUGAAUCUUUCAUUUCUGAAGGAAUGUACUAAUAAAAGCAAUCCUCCUCGUUGACCCAAUACAUCUGAGUCAUUGGUUUCCUGCGCUCUUGUGAAUUGACCGUGUGGACUAGACUUACCUUUUUUUUUUGUUCUGCUGCAUCAUUUUUAUUUUUUACUAUUUUUGGUAAAGGUGUUCCUAAUUGGUUUGGGAGAGUGUAUUGUAACAACUCCACAGAUGACAGGUGGGGAAGUGACUUUAGUGAAUUAGAAUACAGAGAAGGGAGAUGAGUGGGAUUGAGAAAGGAGGAAGCAAAGCCCUUGAAGAGUCUUAGCAUCUGCAAUUUUUCUUCUGUUUGAGCCUUUAUCUUUGAUAUUUUAUUUUACACAAAUCCUUAUAUGACACUAAUACCAGAAGCUAAAGGACCUUGUAGAGAUUCCUUCAAUAAAACUGUGUUAUAGUUCUAGUUUCCUAUCUCUGAGUUUGUAUAAUUUAUUUUUUGGUUCCCCAUCUCAUGGCUCACUUGACAGGUUCCCCGAGAAGCUGCUGCUUCUGUAUGCUUCAAGACUGGACUUGCUCACCUUGAAUUAAAUCAUCUUUCAGAUACUUUGUCUUGCUUUGAUGAAUCUUUUCUUGCAUUAGCUAAAGAACAAUCUCGUGGAAGUGAUAUAAAAGCUCAAGCAUCAAUCUGUGCUCAAUACAAGAUAACAGUCACUCUUCUUCAGGAAAUUGGACGUUUGCAAAGAGUUCAUUGCCUCUUCUCGCCAAGCACAGAAUAAAUUGCAUUCGAACUGCCAUAAAACGAAAUAUAGCGGUGCAAAAUUAUGCAUAUUCCAAGCAAAUGUUAGAACUACUAUUGUCUAAAGCACCUCCAAGCAAGCAGGAGGAAUUUAGGAGCCUCAUCCACUUGUGUGUUCAGAGGGGUUUGACUAAUAAGUCCAUUGAUCCAUUGGAAGAUCCAUCGCAAUUCUGUGCUGCCACAUUGAGCAGGCUGUCAGCCAUUGGAUAUGAUGUCUCUGAUCUCUGUGGAUCUAAAUUUUCAGCUGUGACUGCACCUGGAUGCAUAAUCUGUGGAAUGGGAAGCAUCAAAAGAUCAGAUGCAGUCACAGGACCAGUUCCUUCACCAUUUGGUUGAGUCACCCAGAUUAUAUUUGCUUGUACUGUGUGUUCCCUUGCAAUGCUGUUGUAUAGAGAUACACAACUCCAUCGUAGGGAGGGAUAUAUACAACUGGGGAAAAUUCUCACAAGUCUAGGAAAAUUAUAGCUUCUACAUUUUGUGCACACACGGCUUCAGUUUUGUUAUGAUUAUUUGUGAUGGCCCGGGUUUUCCUUUUGUUUUUCCAAUUGCCAUCCAGGUGACGCUUUCUAUGUAAUUACAGAAUGUUGUUUUCCAGUCAUUUUCUAACUUAUAUUGACCAUUUGUGAACAUAGAAACACAAAUGCUGAUUCAGAGAAUAAACAAGUUUGCUUUAUAAGAAACCGCCAU
Glycine soja is the source of this 1920-nucleotide long non-coding RNA. RefSeq lists it as uncharacterized. The record is from RefSeq and is a predicted model, not a curated record. NCBI's taxonomy places the organism in Eukaryota, Viridiplantae, Streptophyta, Magnoliopsida, Fabales, Fabaceae. The transcript is spliced from 3 exons.